UACGGAGGGUGCGAGCGUUGUUCGGAAUCACUGGGCGUAAAGCGCGUGUAGGCGGCCCACUAAGUCUGAUGUGAAAGCCCGGGGCUCACCCCCGGAAGUGCAUUGGAAACUGGUGGACUCGAGUCCCGGAGAGGAGAGUGGAAUUCCUGGUGUAGCGGUGAAAUGCGUAGAUAUCAGGAGGAACACCGGUGGCGAAGGCGGUUCUCUGGGCAUUACCUGACGCUGAGGAGCGAAAGUGUGGGGAGCGAACAGG
RNAcentral lists this ribosomal RNA (253 nucleotides) under uncultured bacterium. Its description in RNAcentral is "partial 16S ribosomal RNA". It matches the Rfam family "Bacterial small subunit ribosomal RNA", at positions 524 to 776 of the family's 1533-position model. The record is from RNAcentral.